RNAcentral lists this transfer RNA (72 nucleotides) under Ovis aries (sheep). It matches the Rfam family "tRNA". From Rfam's summary of the family: Transfer RNA (tRNA) molecules are approximately 80 nucleotides in length. Lineage: Eukaryota; Metazoa; Chordata; Mammalia; Artiodactyla; Bovidae. The record is from Rfam by way of RNAcentral.
UCCCUGAUAGCUCAGCUGGUGAAGAAUCCGCCUGCAAUGCGGGAGACCUGGGUUCGAUUCCUGGGUUGGGAA